ACGGGAGGCAGCAGUGAGGAAUAUUGGUCAAUGGUCGGAAGACUGAACCAGCCAAGUCGCGUGCAGGAAGACGGUCCUAUGGAUUGUAAACUGCUUUUUGUACGGGAAUAAAGUUCGGGACGUGUCCCGAUUGGAAUGUACCGUAAGAAUAAGGGUCGGCUAACUCCGUGCCAGCAGCCGCGGUAAUACGGAGGACCCGAGCGUUAUCCGGAUUUAUUGGGUUUAAAGGGUGCGCAGGCGGAGGAUUAAGUCAGCGGUGAAAUUUUCAUGCUCAACAUGGAAACUGCCAUUGAUACUGGUCCCCUUGAGAGAUGUCGAGGAUGGCGGAAUGUGGUGUGUAGCGGUGAAAUGCUUAGAUAUGCUGCAGAACUCCGAUUGCGAAGGCAGCUGUCCAGAGAUGAACUGACGCUCAGGCACGAAAGCAUGGGUAUCAAACAGGAUUAGAUCCCCUGGUU
Molecule: ribosomal RNA, 455 nt
Filed under: uncultured Mangroviflexus sp.
Lineage: Bacteria; Pseudomonadati; Bacteroidota; Bacteroidia; Marinilabiliales; Marinilabiliaceae
Description: partial 16S ribosomal RNA
Rfam family: Bacterial small subunit ribosomal RNA
Source: RNAcentral